Molecule: long non-coding RNA, 2165 nt
Organism: Scophthalmus maximus (turbot)
Lineage: Eukaryota; Metazoa; Chordata; Actinopteri; Pleuronectiformes; Scophthalmidae
Exons: 3
Source: RefSeq, a predicted model, not a curated record
ACCCAUGUAUUAAACUGAACGCCACUGUUCCCGCAGAGACAUGCGUCGCUGAUUUAAAAAAAAAAGAAAAAAGAAGAAGAGACGACACCGCAAUAACUAUGGUAACAGUGGAGGAGCAACAAGCUAGGCCCUCCCUCAAAGAGGCGGCCAUGCUCAAGUAACUGCAUUUCAUUUCGGUGGCUCGUCUUGGUUUUGUUUCCCCCCCCCCACAAUGUACACUCGUGUGUGGGGAAUAUACCACGACUGGUGCCUGCCCCAAAAAAUAAAUAAAAGAAACAAUGGACUCUUAGAACCUUGUGCAGGCAGACAGCAACAUGUAUGUAGCUAAUGCUAGCACGCUAGCUAGCUAACACUAGCUCAGCUGCUGGGCUGCAUGCAAUCAGUGGGGAGUGGAGAGAGGGGGGGGGGGGGCUGCCAAGUUAAACGACGGUGACAGACUCUCUACGGUGCCAUUACUCUACACACAACUAAACAGUGGUGGUAGUGAGACAAGAAAUGCAGCAAUGUGACGAAAAAGAAGACGACUGCUAGCAAGUAACCGUGGACAUGGGAAAAAAAUGCAGUUUUUAAACUUUUAACUAAUAAAAAAAAUGUUUUAUGAGGAAGAAAAUAGUGUCAAGCAUGUCUGUAAGACCUCAAGGAUGUGCAAAAUAUGUUGAGGUGAGUAAAAUUGAAUUUAAACAGAGACUUGAUCUGUUUCAAAAAAAGCUCCAUAAUGCCUGAACUUAAUGGGAAGCAAGACCAAAAGCCAUUCACUCUGUAUGUCGGACCAUUUUUACGUUUUUGUUUCUUAUUUUUCAAACAUAGCAAGUGUCUUGUUUGGCUCCUAUGGCUGUAAAUGGUCAUCACUUCAAUAUUUCCCAUCACAUUUUCCCGUGAUGUCACAAAACAGAUCUAGUUUUCUGCUACGACUUAACUGACAAACAUUGUCAACGUACCUAUGACACUGUUACAGAAAGCUCUUCAUUCAAUAAGAUUGUAUUGAUACCUGUGCCAUAAUAAAUUCUGCUCAUUCGUCCAAUUCUUUAUUGAUUUUAUGAACUUUAGUGGAUCAAUUUUCAGCAGCACACAGUGUAGAGACAAAGUAUAGGAAAAAGACCUAUUUACUUUUGGUAACAGACAUUGUUGGGAAACUGUGGCACCCGUGCAUAGUGUCAUACAUAUGUAGCACCCUUCUAAUUUAUUUAUACGUGUUUAUCACAUUUAUUUCAGCUGAUAAAUUGUUCUGAUGUGGGUCUUUACAUUUAUUGCUGCUGUUGAUAUUUGUACGGUUAAUGUGGCGAAAGUAUACGUUAGAUACCAAAAUGCCCUAUGUUUUGAAAGGCCUUUGAACCCCUCAGGUUUCCUUUAUUUGGGGGUUCUGAAUUGUUCGGACAGGUGUCAAUCAAUUGAUCUGUCAUCGGGGAUUAACCUGUCGGCUUGUCAGAGGGGCGGGGCUAAAAGAGAAAAGUACAGAGAUGAGGAAAGAGAGACCCUGCGGGAAAAAGCGGAAAUGAGACGACACUUCAUGACCCGGAGAACUUUCAGUCAACUUCAUAAGAAAGUGUUAUUAAUUAUCGUUAUCAACAGGGGGUUCGUGUGCGUGGUUCAUGCGUUUUGGUCGUGAGGGUUCGCUACUGGCGCAGGCUGAAGACCACGAGGGGACUGUUGCUAGCUGUUAGCAUCGGCCGCUGCUAAUCAGGUGAUGCAGCGGGAUGAGGUGGGAACAUCGCCACGUGCUGCCGCGUGUCGGAGGACGAGCCGGUGCAGGACGGUCAAGCAUUGGGACGAGGCCCCGGUCGCGUCGCUGCCUCUGGGGAGAGGCCUUGGAGGAGACUGCUGGGUCGCUUCUCCGUGGUUCGGGUGUGAGUAUGCUGACCUGCGGUUUCCGAAGUGGAUUCCUGUAUGAGCUCCAACCAUAGGCUCCAACGUGGCCGCCAUCACUGAUUCUCACAACAGAUUAGCUUGUAAAUGGACAGAGGGGAAGGAGGAUCGGGAUCUCCACCGAACAGGAACUCUCCACCCUUCCACGAUUUGGUGCCUGCUUCUGUGACCAGCUGCAUCGCGCUACAGGUUUAGAUGUGACCGGAUGGGUCCAGAGUUAAAUACAAAUGUUCCUAUAGUGUGUGUUGGAACUGCGUCUCUACAUUUUCAGUCUGAACUUUUUUCACUGCACACCAAAAGAC